Long non-coding RNA from Heterocephalus glaber (naked mole-rat), 3285 nucleotides. RefSeq lists it as uncharacterized. Lineage: Eukaryota; Metazoa; Chordata; Mammalia; Rodentia; Bathyergidae. The record is from RefSeq and is a predicted model, not a curated record.
UUGCUCUUCCAGCUCAGGUUGGCUUGAGGGCCAAGAUUAAAGUGAGUCGGCUGGCUUUGUGCGGCUCUAGUCACAGGUGAGCACUGCCUGUGCUCCUGCUUUGAAUCCUGUCCGCACUGCCUGGCCUGGUGCUGCGUCUUCCACAUGUCCAGGGUGGAGCUUCACAGGCCGGCCUUGUGGUCCACGGAGUCUCCUUGCCGGACCUGCUGGAGAAGAGACAGGAGCCUCGCCCUAGGUGAAACCGGUGGGAAUGUGUGUGUAUGCCUGCAGUGGACUUGUGCAUUCCAAGUGCUUGCUAGUGAUUAGGUGCCAAGAGGGAAAGGAAAACUGCCGGCCACACAGAUGAUGGGAUAAAAGAGGGAUCUGACAUCCUCAGCCUGAAGGACCAGAACUGUGGAAUGGCUGGUGUCCAGCAGGUGCAUGAGAAAUGUUGAGAAGGAAGCAACUGGAGGAUAAAUUAAAUAAAGGAAUGAAAGCAGAGGCCCUCUGAGAGCUGCUGAAACACAUUUGGAGAAACAAUAUUGGUACUGGUGGCCUUUGUCCAGGGAGACCCAGGGGUGAAAAUAUAGGAAAUGACGAUCCAUUCCUGGGUGGAAGGCCAGCGCUCCAUCUUCACCAACACGAUGUAGUUGAAGAGCAUCAGGGGGAUCAGUCGGUGCCUGCUCUGAACUUCCUCUUCGUCCUUCUUCCUCGAAGACUCCCCGCUGUUCCGUCCCAGCAUGGCCUACAGUGGGAGAGAAGUGAGAAGCGACACCAUCACAGCCUGCCCUGUGUAGUGCGCCCAUUUAUACGGAGGAGCAGAUGCUCACCAGAGCUGAGUUCCAGAACCUUCCAAGAACCCAAGACCCCCAGACAUUGAAAAGCUGUGCCUUCCCUUAGUGUGUGACUCAUCAGACACAUAAUCCACUCAUUCCCUUUGCCUGCAUGGAAGCCCUUGGGGAUAUUUCUCGAGCAUGUUCUUUUCUUCCACCCUGGACCCCCUGGAAGAAGUGGGUGAUAGCCUAUGCACAGAAUUCUGAGAGGAAGAACAGACCCUGGCAUGGUCACACUACAGGAAUCUGUCUACCUCCCUCCUGUAUACAUUCUGGGACAGGCUAGCUUACGGUUCAAAUUCUGUCUCUCAAGUCACAUCUGCUCUGGAGUCAUGAGUAUGUUGGGUCAGAGUCCCUCAUUUUUCAAAGGUCAUGAGUAGUUAAGAGGCAAGUUUUAGGCAGUAUCUAAAGCUUGGGUUCAGGACAUCUCAACACCUUGGCAUGUGUCUGACCUCCCUGGUUUCCAACCUUGUAAAACUGGAAUUACUGUUGGCACCAGCCAUAGGGCAGCUCCUAGGCGCACUGCCUUCCUGUGUAGCUGGUAGGCCUGACCAGGAGAGGCCCAUCUCCACGCUCCUGGAGAUGUCCUUAAGAAUGGAUUAGCCAAAAAAAAAAAAAAAAAAAAAAAAUGGAUUAGCCCCUCACCCACUUAACAGGAGUAGCGUUAGCAACAGAUUUAACAUCACAAGGAAGGCAGAACCUGAGAAAGGCACACAUGUGCUUGUCUGGGUAGCAAGCGUCAGGGAGCCCCCUCAAAUGGGUGAAGAGCCCAGUGAUGAAGUGUUUUAGGCUUUGGGCCACUCAGAUGGGAGACUGAGUCCUGGCAUGGCUGCCUAGAAUCUGGCACCUUGGGCAAGUUGUUUUAAUCACUCAGAGACUUAUUUUCUUUAACUGUAAAAUGAGGGUAGUAAGAGCCACUACUGUUGGGUUGGUUUACAAAUCAAUUAGUGUCUGACUUUAGUAAACACUCAGUAACCAUUAGCUCAUCUUUAAAGUACACUGGGACCUUCCUGGACAGUAGUACUGAGUGAAAUGAUCCAGUGGGGGAUCUCUCGGACGUACCUCAGUAUGAAGGCCCUGGGUUCAAUCUCAACUAGUACCCCCCAACCCCUAGUUGAUCUUGACUGUGCCCAAAGACAGAUCUGGCCUUUGCCCGCAGUUCCUUGAAGAUAAGGCAUGUCAUAGCCAAUAGUUCUUUGUUUAGAGAGAGAGCCCGCCCACCCCAGGAGGUCUGAGGCUGGGGCCGGCCCUGCCAUAAAAACCAAUUGCAUGAUUCAGAGAGGGCUUUAGGUCACCUGGCACCUGGGUUACAACCUAGGCAAUGAGUCAAUCAUACUGAUGCAGUGGAGCUCCCAAUAAAAACGUCAGACAUGAGACAGGCAUGCUUCUCUGGCUGGCAAUACUUUGUGCAAGUUUCACACACUGAAGAAUAAUGAGUGCUGGCUCCAGAGUGAGUAGACCACAGACGUGAUGCGUUUGGAACCGUUCUGGACUUAAACCUGUGGGCUUCUUCCCUUGGGUGAUUUUAAUCUGUAGGUUUUUCCUAUAAUAAACUGUAACUGGGCAAAAAAGAGAGUAUGACAGCGUAAAUUCUUGGCUUGCGUUCUUUAAUACUGUCCUAAGACAAAGUCAGUUCUACAAUGUCGGGAAACAAGAUUUUUAUUAAAUGUGGGACAGGCAAGACAUUAUCAGGACUGAAAUACACCUAGGCGAAGACACUGUCCUAUUGAACACAUGAGUUUAAAGUUGAGAGAUCUAAUUAUAGCAGUAAUUUAAGUUUGUCUUGAAAAUGAUAAUAGAGAGAACCUCUGAUUUCAAACCACCCUAUCUAAAAUAUACCAAUAUUAGUUUCAACUACUUUGAGCAUUGCUUUAAACAAUGAUUUCACUCAAAUAUGUGACAAUCACAAAUUAUUUAUCUCUAAUCAAUAGGCUUUCUGGAGAAGGUAACUUCUAUUUCUUUGUGUACUCUGGCUAGAAAAGUACCUUGAGUUAAUGAAUAGAUAUGAUUUAAUUCCAAGGUUUAUCUAAUUGUUUAUUUUCACCAGCAAGCUGAGCCAACCUUCGUGGUGGAUACAGCACGCUAGACCCCAGUAGAAUUUUAGACUACUGAUCAUGGAUCUCAAGAAACUCCAAAGUUUUUAAUCCAGGGAGACCGCAAACCAGGAAUGGCCAGCCAAGUGACAAGUGCUGCAGGAGGCAAACUAUGGGACAAACUACGAGAAUCUACGAGAUGUUUCUCACGAAGAGCCACAUUCAACAAGGUUUGGGGUUUUGCUUUGUCUUAUAUGUCCAGCCUAAAUUUUAGAACUAAAAAGAGGCAACUUUCUUUCAUUUAACACUAAAAAUUACUAGUCAAAUGUAAUCAUUAAGGCACAUAAAGAUGAGGUUUUAUCUGCAGAACCUGAAGGAAACCGCACUUCUCUUGGACAUGGCUCCAAAAAGGAGGACAGGAAGUGAGAUCUCUUUGUAAC